RNAcentral lists this ribosomal RNA (465 nucleotides) under Vreelandella stevensii. RNAcentral's name for it is "partial 16S ribosomal RNA". It matches the Rfam family "Bacterial small subunit ribosomal RNA", at positions 338 to 795 of the family's 1533-position model. The record is from RNAcentral. Lineage: Bacteria; Pseudomonadati; Pseudomonadota; Gammaproteobacteria; Oceanospirillales; Halomonadaceae.
CCUACGGGUGGCUGCAGUGGGGAAUAUUGGACAAUGGGCGAAAGCCUGAUCCAGCCAUGCCGCGUGUGUGAAGAAGGCCUUCGGGUUGUAAAGCACUUUCAGUGGGGAAGAAAGCCUUGGGGCUAAUACCCUCGAGGAAGGACAUCACCCACAGAAGAAGCACCGGCUAACUCCGUGCCAGCAGCCGCGGUAAUACGGAGGGUGCGAGCGUUAAUCGGAAUUACUGGGCGUAAAGCGCGCGUAGGCGGUCUGAUAAGCCGGUUGUGAAAGCCCCGGGCUCAACCUGGGAACGGCAUCCGGAACUGUCAGGCUAGAGUGCAGGAGAGGAUGGUAGAAUUCCCGGUGUAGCGGUGAAAUGCGUAGAGAUCGGGAGGAAUACCAGUGGCGAAGGCGGCCUUCUGGACUGACACUGACGCUGAGGUGCGAAAGCGUGGGUAGCAAACAGGAUUAGAUACCCGAGUAGUC